RNAcentral lists this unclassified non-coding RNA (343 nucleotides) under soil metagenome. RNAcentral's name for it is "partial contains 5.8S ribosomal RNA, internal transcribed spacer 2, and large subunit ribosomal RNA". The stretch from base 1 to 120 matches the Rfam family "5.8S ribosomal RNA", at positions 35 to 154 of the family's 154-position model. The record is from RNAcentral.
GAUGAAGAACGCAGCGAAAUGCGAUAAGUAAUGUGAAUUGCAGAAUUCAGUGAAUCAUCGAAUCUUUGAACGCACAUUGCGCCCGCUAGUAUUCUGGCGGGCAUGCCUGUCCGAGCGUCAUUUCAACCCUCAAGCCCCCGGGCUUGGUGUUGGGGAUCGGCGAGCCUCCGCGCCCGCCGUCCCCUAAAUCUAGUGGCGGUCUCGCUGCAGCUUCCUCUGCGUAGUAGCACACCUCGCACUGGGAAACAGCGCGGCCACGCCGUUAAACCCCCAACUUCUGAACGUUUGACCUCGGAUCAGGUAGGAAUACCCGCUGAACUUAAGCAUAUCAAUAAGCGGAGGA